This is a long non-coding RNA of Brachypodium distachyon (stiff brome), 896 nucleotides long. RefSeq lists it as uncharacterized. The transcript is spliced from 3 exons. NCBI's taxonomy places the organism in Eukaryota, Viridiplantae, Streptophyta, Magnoliopsida, Poales, Poaceae. The record is from RefSeq and is a predicted model, not a curated record.
CUAGUACACCUGUCGCCGAAACAACCAUCCCUCGCGUCGCCGCCCAUCAUGCCACAGGUGCUUGGAGGGAGGCUUAAUCACCUAGGAUCACUUGGAAGAGGGGACAAGUAAGGCUCUCUGGCCCAACCCCUCCUGACCCCAUCAGGAUACACCUACCAAAGUACGCCUUGAGUAAUCUACUGCCUAUUCUGGCGAACUACCAUGGGGGUAGUCACUACAUCUCAAGAAAAGAAGAGGAAAUUAGGUGUCGCCAAGCACCAAGGAAUGUCUCAUGAAGAUGUUGAGGGGAUCGAUUUUAUUAGUCACCUCCCAGAUGACAUCAUUGGCACUGUCAUAUCGUUUCUUCCCACAGAUGAUGCCAUCCGCACGAGCACACUCUCCUUAGAGUGGUACAACAAAUGGCGCUCUGCCCCUCUCAAUUAACGUUGACGAUCGGAACAUCUCCGGGGCCACCCCUGACAUCCAGAUCGGUAUCAUCAGUCACAUCCUGUCAGAACACAUGGGUCCUAUUCGCCGCCUUGCCAUCUCAAACAGUAACUUAGCCAACUUCUAUGCCACAUUCGAUGGUUGGCUUCAGUCCCCUAAACUCAACAAACUCCAGGAGCUCGAGUUCAACUUUGGCUAUGGCUUCCAUGGCCCUCCACUCCCACCCACCACCCACCGUUUUUUCUCCACUCUCCGGGUUGCAAUCAUGGCAGGCUGCCAUAUCCAUGAUGACAUUAUUCACGCGUUCCAUCUUCCCAUGCUCGAACAGCUUACCUUGAUAGGGUUACCAUCUCAGAGGAAACUAUUCAGUCUGUGCUUGCCGGUUGUCCUGCCCUUCAUAACUUGCUGCUGAGCCAGAUCGCCGGUUGCCGUCAUAUUCAGAUUAUAUCUGGGAUCCUAAAAAUUAUUGG